GGGCGUGGGGAGGGGCAG
This 18-nucleotide unclassified non-coding RNA is filed under the name Chlamydomonas reinhardtii. RNAcentral's name for it is "small RNA Cre_1908". The record is from RNAcentral. Lineage: Eukaryota; Viridiplantae; Chlorophyta; Chlorophyceae; Chlamydomonadales; Chlamydomonadaceae.